Molecule: ribosomal RNA, 1411 nt
Filed under: Streptococcus thermophilus
Lineage: Bacteria; Bacillati; Bacillota; Bacilli; Lactobacillales; Streptococcaceae
Description: bacterial SSU rRNA
Rfam family: Bacterial small subunit ribosomal RNA
Source: RNAcentral
GUAGAACGCUGAAGAGAGGAGCUUGCUCUUCUUGGAUGAGUUGCGAACGGGUGAGUAACGCGUAGGUAACCUGCCUUGUAGCGGGGGAUAACUAUUGGAAACGAUAGCUAAUACCGCAUAACAAUGGAUGACACAUGUCAUUUAUUUGAAAGGGGCAAUUGCUCCACUACAAGAUGGACCUGCGUUGUAUUAGCUAGUAGGUGAGGUAAUGGCUCACCUAGGCGACGAUACAUAGCCGACCUGAGAGGGUGAUCGGCCACACUGGGACUGAGACACGGCCCAGACUCCUACGGGAGGCAGCAGUAGGGAAUCUUCGGCAAUGGGGGCAACCCUGACCGAGCAACGCCGCGUGAGUGAAGAAGGUUUUCGGAUCGUAAAGCUCUGUUGUAAGUCAAGAACGGGUGUGAGAGUGGAAAGUUCACACUGUGACGGUAGCUUACCAGAAAGGGACGGCUAACUACGUGCCAGCAGCCGCGGUAAUACGUAGGUCCCGAGCGUUGUCCGGAUUUAUUGGGCGUAAAGCGAGCGCAGGCGGUUUGAUAAGUCUGAAGUUAAAGGCUGUGGCUCAACCAUAGUUCGCUUUGGAAACUGUCAAACUUGAGUGCAGAAGGGGAGAGUGGAAUUCCAUGUGUAGCGGUGAAAUGCGUAGAUAUAUGGAGGAACACCGGUGGCGAAAGCGGCUCUCUGGUCUGUAACUGACGCUGAGGCUCGAAAGCGUGGGGAGCGAACAGGAUUAGAUACCCUGGUAGUCCACGCCGUAAACGAUGAGUGCUAGGUGUUGGAUCCUUUCCGGGAUUCAGUGCCGCAGCUAACGCAUUAAGCACUCCGCCUGGGGAGUACGACCGCAAGGUUGAAACUCAAAGGAAUUGACGGGGGCCCGCACAAGCGGUGGAGCAUGUGGUUUAAUUCGAAGCAACGCGAAGAACCUUACCAGGUCUUGACAUCCCGAUGCUAUUUCUAGAGAUAGAAAGUUACUUCGGUACAUCGGUGACAGGUGGUGCAUGGUUGUCGUCAGCUCGUGUCGUGAGAUGUUGGGUUAAGUCCCGCAACGAGCGCAACCCCUAUUGUUAGUUGCCAUCAUUCAGUUGGGCACUCUAGCGAGACUGCCGGUAAUAAACCGGAGGAAGGUGGGGAUGACGUCAAAUCAUCAUGCCCCUUAUGACCUGGGCUACACACGUGCUACAAUGGUUGGUACAACGAGUUGCGAGUCGGUGACGGCGAGCUAAUCUCUUAAAGCCAAUCUCAGUUCGGAUUGUAGGCUGCAACUCGCCUACAUGAAGUCGGAAUCGCUAGUAAUCGCGGAUCAGCACGCCGCGGUGAAUACGUUCCCGGGCCUUGUACACACCGCCCGUCACACCACGAGAGUUUGUAACACCCGAAGUCGGUGAGGUAACCUUUUGGAGCCAGCCGC